UAGUCUGCGCCGUAAACGAUGAUAGCUGGGUGUAGUUGAGCAAUCGACUGUGCCUGAGGGAAACCAUUAAGCUAUCCGCCUGGGGAGUACGCCCGCAAGGGUGAAACUCAAAGGAAUUGACGGGGGCCCGCACAAGCGGUGGAACAUGUGGUUUAAUUCGAUGAUACGCGAGGAACCUUACCCGGGCUUAAAUGGGGAUUGCAUAAGUUAGAAAUAGCUUUUUCCGCAAGGACUGUCCUCAAGGUGCUGCAUAGUUGUCGUCAGCUCGUGCCGUGAGGUGUCGGGUUAAGUCCCAUAACGAGCGCAACCCCUGUCAUCAGUUGCCAUCAGGUAAUGCUGGGGACUCUGAUGAGACUGCCGCCGCAAGGCGUGAGGAAGGCGGGGAUGACGUCAAAUCAGCACGGGCCCUUACGUCCGGGGGCUACACACGUGUUACAAUGGACGGUACAGCGCGUCCUAAUAGCGAUA
This 468-nucleotide ribosomal RNA is filed under the name uncultured bacterium. Its description in RNAcentral is "bacterial SSU rRNA". It matches the Rfam family "Bacterial small subunit ribosomal RNA", at positions 791 to 1262 of the family's 1533-position model. The record is from RNAcentral.